GACGAACGCUGGCGGCGUGCCUAAUACAUGCAAGUAGAACGCAGUUCCGAACGGGUGAGUAACGCGUAGGUAACUGCCUCAUAGCGGCGGAUAACUAUUGGAAACGAUAGCUAAUACCGCAUACUGUGUGAUGGACCUGCGUUGUAUUAGCUAGUUGGUGAGGUAAAGGCGCACCAAGGCGACGAUACAUAGCCGACCUGGGAGGGGGAUGGGCCAAACUGGGAAUGAGACACGGGCGAGACUGCGAAGGGAGGUAGGAGUAGGGAAAGUUGGGAAAAGGAGGGAAGUGUGAACGAGCAAAGGCGCGGGAGUGAAGAAGGGUUUGGGAGCGGAAAGAGCUGUAGGUAGAGAAGCGGUAACUAACGAGAAAGGGACGGCUAACUACGUGCCAGCAGCCGCGGUAAUUC
RNAcentral lists this ribosomal RNA (407 nucleotides) under uncultured bacterium. Its description in RNAcentral is "partial 16S ribosomal RNA". It matches the Rfam family "Bacterial small subunit ribosomal RNA", at positions 28 to 526 of the family's 1533-position model. The record is from RNAcentral.